UACGUAGGGUGCGAGCGUUGUCCGGAAUUAUUGGGCGUAAAGAGCUUGUAGGCGGUCUGUCGCGUCUGCUGUGAAAAUCCGGGGCUCAACCCCGGACUUGCAGUGGGUACGGGCAGACUAGAGUGUGGUAGGGGAGACUGGAAUUCCUGGUGUAGCGGUGGAAUGCGCAGAUAUCAGGAGGAACACCGAUGGCGAAGGCAGGUCACUGGGCAGCAACUGACGCUGAGGAGCGAAAGCAUGGGGAGCGAACAGG
RNAcentral lists this ribosomal RNA (253 nucleotides) under uncultured bacterium. RNAcentral's name for it is "partial 16S ribosomal RNA". It matches the Rfam family "Bacterial small subunit ribosomal RNA", at positions 524 to 776 of the family's 1533-position model. The record is from RNAcentral.